This 413-nucleotide ribosomal RNA is filed under the name uncultured soil bacterium. RNAcentral's name for it is "bacterial SSU rRNA". It matches the Rfam family "Bacterial small subunit ribosomal RNA", at positions 26 to 448 of the family's 1533-position model. The record is from RNAcentral.
AGAAUGAACGUUGGCGGCGUGGAUUAGGCAUGCAAGUCGAGCGCGAUGAGUUUUGAAGCUUGCUUUAGAACUCGGAAAGCGGCGAAAGGGAGAGUAACGCGUAGUUACGUGCCCCAGGGUUCGGAAUAGCCACGGGAAACUGUGGGUAAUGCCGAAUAACAUCUCCGGAUCAAAGGUGUGAUUCCGCCCUGGGAGCGGACUGCGUCCUACUAGCUUGUGGCGGGUAAUGGCCCACCAAGGCAACAAUGGGUAGCGGGUGUGAGAGCAUGACCCGUCUCACUGGGACUGAGACACUGCCCAGACACCUACGGGUGGCUGCAGUCGAGAAUCUUCGGCAAUGGGCAAAGCCUGACCGAGCGACGCCGCGUGCGGAUGAAGGCCCUGGGUUCGUAAACCGCUGUCGUAGGGAGAGG